GACGAACGCUGGCGGCGUGCUUAACACAUGCAAGUCGAACGGAAAGGCCCUGCUUGCAGGGUGCUCGAGUGGCGAACGGGUGAGUAACACGUGGGUGAUCUGCCCCUUACUUUGGGAUAAGCCUGGGAAACUGGGUCUAAUACUGAUAGGACCAUGCUGUAGGUGGUGUGGUGGAAAGAUUAGUUUCGGUAAGGGAUGAGCUCGCGGCCUAUCAGCUUGUUGGUGGGGUAAUGGCCUACCAAGGCGUCGACGGGUAGCCGGCCUGAGAGGGUGGACGGCCACAUUGGGACUGAGAUACGGCCCAGACUCCUACGGGAGGCAGCAGUGGGGAAUAUUGCACAAUGGGCGCAAGCCUGAUGCAGCGACGCCGCGUGGGGGAUGACGGCCUUCGGGUUGUAAACUCCUUUCAGCCAUGACGAAGCCCUUGUGGUGACGGUAGUGGUAGAAGAAGCACCGGCUAACUACGUG
RNAcentral lists this ribosomal RNA (468 nucleotides) under uncultured bacterium. RNAcentral's name for it is "partial 16S ribosomal RNA". It matches the Rfam family "Bacterial small subunit ribosomal RNA", at positions 28 to 507 of the family's 1533-position model. The record is from RNAcentral.